GGUCCACCACUUUGGUCAUUACUGAAAUAUCUCAACUAUUAUUGGAUAGAUUGUCAUUAAAUGGUGUAUAAACAUUCAUGGUCCCAAGAGGAU
Molecule: long non-coding RNA, 93 nt
Organism: Sebastes umbrosus (honeycomb rockfish)
Lineage: Eukaryota; Metazoa; Chordata; Actinopteri; Perciformes; Sebastidae
Exons: 3
Source: RefSeq, a predicted model, not a curated record